This 1036-nucleotide ribosomal RNA is filed under the name Nidirana mangveni. RNAcentral describes it as "Nidirana sp. m ZTL-2020 partial large subunit ribosomal RNA". It matches the Rfam family "Bacterial large subunit ribosomal RNA", at positions 931 to 2606 of the family's 2925-position model. Lineage: Eukaryota; Metazoa; Chordata; Amphibia; Anura; Ranidae. The record is from RNAcentral.
UAGCUCUACCUUAGCUUCUCAUUAUACCAAAAACCCUCCCAAACUUAAGAGCCAUUCAAAUAAGGCACAGCUUAUUUGAAAUAGGGCACAACCUCUAACACCGGGUAAAUAAGGGUAACUUAAACAAAGUAGGCCUAAGAGCAGCCACCUUUAAAAAAGCGUUAAAGCUUAUCUAUAAAUACCCACAAUUUCCUAAAUCCCCAUUAACCCUUCACCACUACUGAACUAUUUUAUACCCGUAUAAAAGCUUUAAUGCUAGAACUAGUAACAAGAAAUAGCCCUUCUCCAAAAUGUAAGCUUACACCAAAAUGGACUAUCCAUUGGUAAUUAACGUAAAUGUUGUAGUCACAGCAACACACCUCUAGAAAACCCUGUGACCUCCUACGUUACCCUUACACUAGAACAUCUCAGGAAAGAUUAAAAGAGAAAGAAGGAACUCGGCAAAUCCUCAGCCCCGCCUGUUUACCAAAAACAUCGCCUCUUGACCAAGUAUAAGAGGUCCAGCCUGCCCAGUGACAAAAUUCAACGGCCGCGGUACCCUAACCGUGCGAAGGUAGCAUAAUCACUUGUUCUCUAAAUAGGGACUAGUAUCAACGGCAUCACGAGGGCUGUACUGUCUCCUUUCUCCAAUCAGUGAAACUGAUCUCCCCGUGAAGAAGCGGGGAUUAUUAUAUAAGACGAGAAGACCCCAUGGAGCUUUAAACUCAUCACUCACUUCCUCACCUCCAUGCCCGACCAUACAAGGAAUCUGUGUGAUAGUUUUGGGUUGGGGGGACCACGGAGUACAAUUUAACCUCCAUGACAAAUGGGCUAACGCCCUUAUCUAUGAACUACAACUCUAAGAAUCAUAAACUGAUGUUUGAUGACCCGACAAUUCGAUCAACGAACCAAGUUACCCUGGGGAUAACAGCGCAAUCUACUUCAAGAGCCCCUAUCGACAAGUAGGUUUACGACCUCGAUGUUGGAUCAGGGUGUCCUAGGGGUGCAGCCGCUCCUAACGGUUCGUUUGUUCAACGAUUAAAACCCUACGUGAUCU